Molecule: long non-coding RNA, 567 nt
Organism: Oncorhynchus tshawytscha (Chinook salmon)
Lineage: Eukaryota; Metazoa; Chordata; Actinopteri; Salmoniformes; Salmonidae
Source: Ensembl
CAGGUGGGGGCUAGUUUAAUGACCAGGUGGUGGCUAGUUUAAUGACCAGGUAGUGGCUAGUUUAAUGACCAGGUGGUGGCUAGUUUAAUGACCAGGUAGUCGCUAGUUUAAUGACCAGGUAGUGGCUAGUUUAAUGACCAGGUGGGGGCUAGUUUAAUGACCAGGUGGGGGCUAGUUUAAUGACCAGGUAGUGGCUAGUUUAAUGACCAGGUAGUGGCUAGUUUAAUGACCAGGUAGUGGCUAGUUUAAUGACCAGGUAGUGGCUAGUUUAAUGACCAGGUGGGGGCUAGUUUAAUGACCAGGUAGUGGCUAGUUUAAUGACCAGGUGGUGGCUAGUAUAACAGCAGGUGAGUUUCCCUUAUGACCCUCUACGAUAGACAUUCAGUAGUUCAGCUAGGGAGGUUGUGUCACAAAUGGUACCCUAUAUAGUGAACUACCUUUGACAAGAGCCCAUAGGUAGUGCACUACGUAGGGAAUAGGGUGCCAUUUGGGACCCCAAGAGAUGUCCACAGGACACAGUGGAGAGCCAGUGCAGAACCAGUACCUGAUUAUAGAUAUUGAUUUCGG